Molecule: ribosomal RNA, 425 nt
Filed under: uncultured bacterium
Lineage: Bacteria
Description: bacterial SSU rRNA
Rfam family: Bacterial small subunit ribosomal RNA
Source: RNAcentral
CGGGAAUCUUCCGCAAUGGACGAAAGUCUGACGGAGCAACGCCGCGUGAGCGAUGAAGGCCUUCGGGUCGUAAAGCUCUGUUGUCAGGGAAGAACAAGUAUCGGAGUAACUGCCGGUACCUUGACGGUACCUGACCAGAAAGCCACGGCUAACUACGUGCCAGCAGCCGCGGUAAUACGUAGGUGGCAAGCGUUGUCCGGAAUUAUUGGGCGUAAAGCGCGCGCAGGCGGUCCUUUAAGUCUGAUGUGAAAGCCCACGGCUCAACCGUGGAGGGUCAUUGGAAACUGGGGGACUUGAGUGCAGAAGAGGAAAGCGGAAUUCCACGUGUAGCGGUGAAAUGCGUAGAGAUGUGGAGGAACACCAGUGGCGAAGGCGGCUUUCUGGUCUGUAACUGACGCUGAGGCGCGAAAGCGUGGGGAGCAAAC